CCUACGGGAGUCAGCAGUGAGGAAUAUUGGUCAAUGGACGAGAGUCUGAACCAGCCAAGUAGCGUGAAGGAUGACUGCCCUAUGGGUUGUAAACUUCUUUUAUAUGGGAAUAAACUGUUCCACGUGUGGGCUUUUGUAUGUACCAUAUGAAUAAGGAUCGGCUAACUCCGUGCCAGCAGCCGCGGUAAUACGGAGGAUCCGAGCGUUAUCCGGAUUUAUUGGGUUUAAAGGGAGCGUAGGUGGAUUGUUAAGUCAGUUGUGAAAGUUUGCGGCUCAACCGUAAAAUUGCAGUUGAAACUGGCAGUCUUGAGUACAGUAGAGGUGGGCGGAAUUCGUGGUGUAGCGGUGAAAUGCUUAGAUAUCACGAAGAACUCCGAUUGCGAAGGCAGCUCACUGGACUGCAACUGACACUGAGGCUCGAAAGUGUGGGUAUCAAACAGGAUUAGAUACCCGAGUAGUC
This 460-nucleotide ribosomal RNA is filed under the name uncultured bacterium. Its description in RNAcentral is "partial 16S ribosomal RNA". It matches the Rfam family "Bacterial small subunit ribosomal RNA", at positions 338 to 795 of the family's 1533-position model. The record is from RNAcentral.